GUGAAGACGAAAGAUAAGAUAAGGGCUCCUUUAUUCCUGUCGAGCUUGGCAUCCUGAGGGCUGCGGUGACAGUGACGGGAGAGUCUAAAAUGGUGGACAGACGUGGAAGAUGAUCUGUUCUUUUCUCUUUUCUACAAGGAUUCUAUCUGAUUGGAGCCCUAUUUUAAGGGACUCAGAAGGCGAAGAAUGAUUUGGUCCGGCACCCAAACAUGGUAUUCCCUACAACUAAUGUAGCAGAGAAAAUAAACACUAUUUCACUCAGGGCUCUACGUCUUUUAUGCAGAUCUGUGAGCCUGCAUAAAAUGUUCAAGUAUUUUCUUAUUUCUCUAUUUUUCA
This is a long non-coding RNA of Meriones unguiculatus (Mongolian gerbil), 336 nucleotides long. RefSeq lists it as uncharacterized. Lineage: Eukaryota; Metazoa; Chordata; Mammalia; Rodentia; Muridae. The record is from RefSeq and is a predicted model, not a curated record. The transcript is spliced from 3 exons.